GGGCCCGUAGUCUAGCUUGGUUUAGGACUCCAGCUUGGGGUGUUGGAAACCUGUGUUCAAAGCCUUUUGGACAUUUCCGUCCAAAAGCCUUUAGGGAAAGUACGCCUUCCGGCGUAUGAGAAAAUCACAGCGGGCCCACCA
Molecule: transfer RNA, 141 nt
Filed under: Candidatus Aenigmatarchaeota archaeon
Lineage: Archaea; Nanobdellati; Candidatus Aenigmatarchaeota
Description: tRNA-Pro
Source: RNAcentral